GACAGCAUAGCUCAAUGGUAGAGCAUUGGUUUCAUAAUCCAGUUGUUAGUAGUUCAAAUCUACUUGUUGUCA
The sequence is a transfer RNA, 72 nucleotides long. It matches the Rfam family "tRNA". From Rfam's summary of the family: Transfer RNA (tRNA) molecules are approximately 80 nucleotides in length. Their secondary structure includes four short double-helical elements and three loops (D, anti-codon, and T loops).